RNAcentral lists this ribosomal RNA (301 nucleotides) under uncultured bacterium. RNAcentral's name for it is "partial 16S ribosomal RNA". It matches the Rfam family "Bacterial small subunit ribosomal RNA", at positions 509 to 807 of the family's 1533-position model. The record is from RNAcentral.
CAGUCGCCGCGGGAAUACGAAGGGGGCUAGCGUUGCUCGGAAUGACUGGGCGUAAAGGGCGCGUAGGCGGUUUUGACAGUCAGAUGUGAAAUUCCUGGGCUUAACCUGGGGGCUGCAUUUGAGACGUCAAGACUAGAGUGUGAGAGAGGGUUGUGGAAUUCCCGGUGUAGCAGUGAAAUGCGUAGAGAUCGGAAGGAACAUCUGUGGCGAAGGCGGCAACCUGGCUCAUUACUGACGCUGAGGCGCGAAAGCGUGGGGAGCAAACAGGAUUAGAUACCCCUGUAGUCCCUGUCUCUUAUAC